GCCGAAAUGGUGGAAUUGGUAGACGCAGCGGACUCAAAAUCCGCAGUCCGCAAGGGCGUGGGGGUUCGAGUCCCCCUUUCGGCA
RNAcentral lists this transfer RNA (84 nucleotides) under Deferribacteraceae bacterium. Its description in RNAcentral is "tRNA-Leu". It matches the Rfam family "tRNA". From Rfam's summary of the family: Transfer RNA (tRNA) molecules are approximately 80 nucleotides in length. Their secondary structure includes four short double-helical elements and three loops (D, anti-codon, and T loops). RNAcentral also lists the same sequence under 1 other name. The record is from RNAcentral. Lineage: Bacteria; Pseudomonadati; Deferribacterota; Deferribacteres; Deferribacterales; Deferribacteraceae.